GGCCCCAUCGUCUAGUGGCCUAGGACGCGGCCCUCUCAAGGCCGAAACACGGGUUCGAGUCCCGUUGGGGCCACCA
Molecule: transfer RNA, 76 nt
Filed under: Methylomirabilis oxygeniifera (SeqCode)
Lineage: Bacteria; Methylomirabilota (SeqCode); Methylomirabilia (SeqCode); Methylomirabilales (SeqCode); Methylomirabilaceae (SeqCode)
Also listed under: 3 other names
Description: tRNA-Glu
Rfam family: tRNA
About the family: Transfer RNA (tRNA) molecules are approximately 80 nucleotides in length. Their secondary structure includes four short double-helical elements and three loops (D, anti-codon, and T loops).
Source: RNAcentral